This 484-nucleotide ribosomal RNA is filed under the name Klebsiella aerogenes. Its description in RNAcentral is "partial 16S ribosomal RNA". It matches the Rfam family "Bacterial small subunit ribosomal RNA", at positions 1049 to 1533 of the family's 1533-position model. Lineage: Bacteria; Pseudomonadati; Pseudomonadota; Gammaproteobacteria; Enterobacterales; Enterobacteriaceae. The record is from RNAcentral. RNAcentral also lists the same sequence under 4 other names.
CUGUCGUCAGCUCGUGUUGUGAAAUGUUGGGUUAAGUCCCGCAACGAGCGCAACCCUUAUCCUUUGUUGCCAGCGGUUAGGCCGGGAACUCAAAGGAGACUGCCAGUGAUAAACUGGAGGAAGGUGGGGAUGACGUCAAGUCAUCAUGGCCCUUACGACCAGGGCUACACACGUGCUACAAUGGCAUAUACAAAGAGAAGCGACCUCGCGAGAGCAAGCGGACCUCAUAAAGUAUGUCGUAGUCCGGAUUGGAGUCUGCAACUCGACUCCAUGAAGUCGGAAUCGCUAGUAAUCGUAGAUCAGAAUGCUACGGUGAAUACGUUCCCGGGCCUUGUACACACCGCCCGUCACACCAUGGGAGUGGGUUGCAAAAGAAGUAGGUAGCUUAACCUUCGGGAGGGCGCUUACCACUUUGUGAUUCAUGACUGGGGUGAAGUCGUAACAAGGUAACCGUAGGGGAACCUGCGGUUGGAUCACCUCCUUA